RNAcentral lists this ribosomal RNA (466 nucleotides) under uncultured Anoxybacillus sp. RNAcentral describes it as "bacterial SSU rRNA". It matches the Rfam family "Bacterial small subunit ribosomal RNA", at positions 916 to 1381 of the family's 1533-position model. The record is from RNAcentral. Lineage: Bacteria; Bacillati; Bacillota; Bacilli; Caryophanales; Anoxybacillaceae.
GACGGGGCCCGCACAAGCGGUGGAGCAUGUGGUUAAUUCGAAGCAACGCGAAGAACCUUACCAGGUCUUGACAUCCCUGACAACCGAGAGAUCGGGCGUUCCCCGUCGGGGGACAGGGUGACAGGUGGUGCAUGGUUGUCGUCAGCUCGUGUCGUGAGAUGUUGGGUUAAGUCCCGCAACGAGCGCAACCCUCGACCUUAGUUGCCAGCAUUCAGUUGGGCACUCUAAGGUGACUGCCGGCUAAAAGUCGGAGGAAGGUGGGAUGACGUCAAAUCAUCAUGCCCCUUAUGUUCUGGGCUACACACGUGCUACAAUGGCCGGUACAGACGGACGCAAAGCCGCGAGGUGGAGCAAAUCCUAAAAAGCCGGUCUCAGUUCGGAUUGCAGGCUGCAAUUCGCCUGCAUGAAGUCGGAAUCGCUAGUAAUCGCAGGUCAGCAUACUGCGGUGAAUACGUUCCCGGGCCUU